ACCCCUACGGGAGGCAGCAGUGGGGAAUAUUGCACAAUGGGGGAAAACCUGAUGCAGCGACGCCGCGUGAGUGAAGAAGAAUUUCGGUAUGUAAAGCUCUAUCAGCAGGGAAGAAAAUGACGGUACCUGACCAAGAAGCCCCGGCUAACUACGUGCCAGCAGCCGCGGUAAUACGUAGGGGGCAAGCGUUAUCCGGAAUUACUGGGUGUAAAGAGAGCGUAGACGGUGAUGCAAGUCUGGAGUGAAAGGCGGGGGCCCAACCCCCGGGCUGCUCUGGAAACUGUAUGACUUGAGUGCAGGCGAGG
RNAcentral lists this ribosomal RNA (305 nucleotides) under uncultured bacterium. Its description in RNAcentral is "bacterial SSU rRNA". It matches the Rfam family "Bacterial small subunit ribosomal RNA", at positions 335 to 657 of the family's 1533-position model. The record is from RNAcentral.